RNAcentral lists this ribosomal RNA (695 nucleotides) under Arthrobacter sp. SC-A5-4. RNAcentral describes it as "bacterial SSU rRNA". It matches the Rfam family "Bacterial small subunit ribosomal RNA", at positions 72 to 781 of the family's 1533-position model. Lineage: Bacteria; Bacillati; Actinomycetota; Actinomycetes; Micrococcales; Micrococcaceae. The record is from RNAcentral.
AGCCCAGCUUGCUGGGUGGAUUAGUGGCGAACGGGUGAGUAACACGUGAGUAACCUGCCCCCGACUCUGGGAUAAGCCCGGGAAACUGGGUCUAAUACCGGAUAUGACCAUGGAACGCAUGUUUUGUGGUGGAAAGAUUUAUCGGUGGGGGAUGGACUCGCGGCCUAUCAGCUUGUUGGUGAGGUAAUGGCUCACCAAGGCGACGACGGGUAGCCGGCCUGAGAGGGUGACCGGCCACACUGGGACUGAGACACGGCCCAGACUCCUACGGGAGGCAGCAGUGGGGAAUAUUGCACAAUGGGCGAAAGCCUGAUGCAGCGACGCCGCGUGAGGGAUGACGGCCUUCGGGUUGUAAACCUCUUUCAGUAGGGAAGAAGCGAAAGUGACGGUACCUGCAGAAGAAGCGCCGGCUAACUACGUGCCAGCAGCCGCGGUAAUACGUAGGGCGCAAGCGUUAUCCGGAUUUAUUGGGCGUAAAGAGCUCGUAGGCGGUUUGUCGCGUCUGCCGUGAAAGUCCGAGGCUCAACCUCGGAUCUGCGGUGGGUACGGGCAGACUAGAGUGAUGUAGGGGAGACUGGAAUUCCUGGUGUAGCGGUGAAAUGCGCAGAUAUCAGGAGGAACACCGAUGGCGAAGGCAGGUCUCUGGGCAUUUACUGACGCUGAGGAGCGAAAGCAUGGGGAGCGAACAGGAUUAG